AGAGCGAACGCUGGCGGCGUACUUAACACAUGCAAGUCGAACGAGGAUCAUCGGGUUAGCAAUAAUUCGGUGGUCCUAGUGGCGCACGGGUGAGUAACACGUGGGUGACCUGCCCUUGAGCUCGGGAUACCCCCUCGAAAGGGGGGCUAAUACCGGAUACGUUCCUCGGUCGAAAGACUGAGGAGGAAAGGUGGCGCAAGCUGCCGCUCUUGGAGGGGCUCGCGGCCUAUCAGCUAGUUGGCGGGGUAACGGCCCACCAAGGCUAUGACGGGUAGCUGGUCUGAGAGGACGACCAGCCACACGGGGACUGAGACACGGCCCCGACUCCUACGGGAGGCAGCAGUGGGGAAUUUUCCGCAAUGGGCGAAAGCCUGACGGAGUGACGCCGCGUGUGGGACGAAGGCCUUCGGGUCGUAAACCACUGUCAGUGGGAAAGAUGGGUGUCGGCGCUAAUACCGCUGGCAUUUGACGGUACCUGCAGAGGAAGCCCCGGCCAACUCUGUGCCAGCAGCCGCGGUAAGACAGAGGGGGCAAGCGUUGCUCGGAAUUACUGGGCGUAAAGGGCGCGUAGGCGGGAUGGCAAGUCGGUCGUGAAAUCCCUCGGCUCAACCGAGGAACGUCGAUCGAUACUGCUGUUCUUGAGGAUUACAGAGGAGACUGGAAUUCCCGGUGUAGCGGUGAAAUGUGUAGAGAUCGGGAGGAACACCGGUGGCGAAGGCGGGUCUCUGGGCAAUUCCUGACGCUGAGGCGCGAAAGCGUGGGGAGCAAACGGGAUUAGAUACCCCGGUAGUCCACGCUGUAAACGAUGAGCACUAGGUGUGGGGGGGUUCAGUCCCUUCCGUGCCGCAGCUAACGCAUUAAGUGCUCC
This 868-nucleotide ribosomal RNA is filed under the name uncultured bacterium. Its description in RNAcentral is "bacterial SSU rRNA". It matches the Rfam family "Bacterial small subunit ribosomal RNA", at positions 26 to 870 of the family's 1533-position model. The record is from RNAcentral.